UUCCAAUGGCAGGCAGGAAAUCUUGUAGUAGGUGAUCGUGGCCUUCCUUGGGAUCCCUGUUUCCCCCUUUUAUUCCCUUUUCACCCAGUAAAACCCUGCUUUGCUCACUCUUUAAAGCAUCUGUGAGCGUAAAUUUUUGUGGCCAUGGGAUGGACAAGAACCACAUGUUUACCUGAAGUCCUGUGACAUUUUGGUGUGCAGCAUGGGAGCUCCAAAAGUGAUGCCAGAGGAUGCUAUAGAAAAAUGCGUGCCCUCUUGUAAUACUUUGUUCAAGUUCUGAUCAGAAGGAUGAAUGAUGGAGCCCAAGAAGCCAGAGUCUCAUUGUGUUGCUCAGGCUGGAAUCCAGUGGCAUGAUCUCGGCUCAGUGCAACCUCCGCCUCCUGGGUUCAAGCAGUUCUCCUAGAUCAGCAUCAGCGUCCCGAGUAGCUGGGAUUACAGGCACCCGCCACCAUGCCUGGCUAAUGUUGGUCAGGCUGGCUCGAACUCCUGACCUCAAGAGAUCCACCUGCUUUGGCCUCCCAAAGUGCUCGGAUUACAGGCAUGAGCUGCCACACCCAGCCUCCAAAUACUUUUUUUUUAAAUCAAAAUAAUGAUUUCAAUGACUGAGAUCUGUUAUGUAUUUCAACAUAAUCAUGUUUCAUAAAGAUUUAGUCUUCUGAAA
This 661-nucleotide long non-coding RNA is filed under the name Homo sapiens (human). RNAcentral describes it as "HSALNT0337477". Lineage: Eukaryota; Metazoa; Chordata; Mammalia; Primates; Hominidae. The record is from RNAcentral.